UGGGGAAUUUUGGACAAUGGGCGAAGGCCUGAUCCAGCAAUGCCGCGUGUGUGAAGAAGGCCUUCGGGUUGUAAAGCACUUUUGUCCGGAAAGAAAUCCUUGGCUCUAAUACAGUCGGGGGAUGACGGUACCGGAAGAAUAAGCACCGGCUAACUACGUGCCAGCAGCCGCGGUAAUACGUAGGGUGCAAGCGUUAAUCGGAAUUACUGGGCGUAAAGCGUGCGCAGGCGGUUUGCUAAGACCGAUGUGAAAUCCCCGGGCUCAACCUGGGAACUGCAUUGGUGACUGGCAGGCUAGAGUAUGGCAGAGGGGGGUAGAAUUCCACGUGUAGCAGUGAAAUGCGUAGAGAUGUGGAGGAAUACCGAUGGCGAAGGCAGCCCCCUGGGCCAAUACUGACGCUCAUGCACGAAAGCGUGGGGAGCAAACAGGAUUAGAUACCCUGGUAGUCCACGCCCUAAACGAUGUCAACUAGUUGUUGGGGAUUCAUUUCCUUAGUAACGUAGCUAACGCGUGAAGUUGACCGCCUGGGGAGUACGGUCGCAAGAUUAAAACUCAAAUGAAUUGACGGGGUCAUAGCUGUUUCCU
RNAcentral lists this ribosomal RNA (585 nucleotides) under uncultured bacterium. RNAcentral describes it as "partial 16S ribosomal RNA". It matches the Rfam family "Bacterial small subunit ribosomal RNA", at positions 355 to 1375 of the family's 1533-position model. The record is from RNAcentral.